Molecule: small nuclear RNA, 108 nt
Organism: Dromiciops gliroides (monito del monte)
Lineage: Eukaryota; Metazoa; Chordata; Mammalia; Microbiotheria; Microbiotheriidae
Source: RefSeq, a predicted model, not a curated record
GUGUUUGCUUUGGCAGCACAUAUACUAAAAUUGGAAUGAUACAGGGAAGGAUUAGUAUGGCCCUUGCGCAAGGGUGACACGCAAAUUAGUGCAGAAAUACAACUGAUA